RNAcentral lists this long non-coding RNA (1009 nucleotides) under Marmota monax (woodchuck). The record is from RNAcentral. Lineage: Eukaryota; Metazoa; Chordata; Mammalia; Rodentia; Sciuridae.
GUCGCGAAGCAGGGAUUGGAGCCCACCCAAGAAGGAGAGAGCCCUCCAGUUCAGCAUCCUCAGCUGUUGUAGAGAGGAGAGAAACUCAAGGAACUGGGAGCCUGCAGCCAGGGAUGGAGUCUGGGGACAGGGCUUUCAGUAGUGCCUGCUGGAAGAGCGAGCCACUGCACCUCCCCUUUGGUGGCUCUUUGUGUGCUAGGCACAGGCUGCAGCCAAAGUAGUCCCCAUCAUCUCUACCUUCAGAGUGUCCAUAGAAGCAAUUUUUUUUUUUUGCAAUACUGGGAAUUGAACCUAGGGGCGCUCUACCACUGAGCUACAUCCCCAGCCCUUUUUAUUUUUUACUUUGAGAUAGGGUCUGGCUAACUAGCUGAGGUUGACCUGAUACUUGGGAUCCUCCUGCCUCGGCCUCCUGAGCUCUGGCAUUAUAGGCAUGCGCCACCGCAUCUAGCUCAAAAGCCAUUUUGAAGGACCCAUAUCCUUUCCUGAGCUCCCACUGCAGCACACAAAUGCACAGUGUACUUUGCAAACUAUGUAGCUGGAGUUGAAACCUUCCUAUCCCACAAAUAGCUGCACACCCAUGUCUGCAGCAGCUUUACUCAUAAUUGCCAACAUUUAGAAGUGGCCAAGAUGUCCUUCAGUAGAUAUGUUCAUCAGCUUUCUGUGGCUAGAACAGAAUACCUAGAUAAAUCAACACAAAGGAGGAUUUCCAUCCAGUCUCACCUCAUGCCAGCCAGGAAGCUGGAGAGAGAGGAAGCAGCUGAGAUCCCAACAUAACCCUCAAGGGGCCCCUCACCUAUCUAACUUUCUCCUAUGGGCCCCACCUCCUAGUUUCCACCACCUCCCAAUAGCAUGAUUCUCUGGGGACCAAGUCUUCAACACAUAGACCUUUGAGGUCUAGACCUUCCAGCUCCAAACUAUGACACUAAGUGAAUGGAGAAACCAUAGUGCCUCCAGACAAUGUAAUAUUAUUCAAUACUGAAGGAUUUGAGCUCUCAAGCCAUGAAAAGAC